GGCCCCAUCGUCUAACGGUUAGGACGACAGGUUUUCAACCUGUAAAUCGGAGUUCGAUUCUCCGUGGGGUCA
RNAcentral lists this transfer RNA (72 nucleotides) under Chloroflexota bacterium. RNAcentral describes it as "Chloroflexi bacterium tRNA-Glu". It matches the Rfam family "tRNA". Rfam says of the family: Transfer RNA (tRNA) molecules are approximately 80 nucleotides in length. Their secondary structure includes four short double-helical elements and three loops (D, anti-codon, and T loops). Lineage: Bacteria; Bacillati; Chloroflexota. The record is from RNAcentral.